GUCCGUGUAACAACUAAAAAGAGUCCGUGUAUCAUCUAAAAAGAGUCCGUGUAACACCCGUUAAUGUACUGUUUUUCUAUAGCUUUGCGGGCGGCAAAGUCGUACAAAUUGCAUUAUACUUGCCCGUUCGGUAAAUUAUCAUUAUCUUUUUACCAAUGAUUUAGUUUUUGGUAUAAAAAAAAAUCUAAAAUAUAGAAAAAAAACAUAACGC
RNAcentral lists this long non-coding RNA (211 nucleotides) under Mytilus galloprovincialis (Mediterranean mussel). Lineage: Eukaryota; Metazoa; Mollusca; Bivalvia; Mytilida; Mytilidae. The record is from RNAcentral.